RNAcentral lists this long non-coding RNA (661 nucleotides) under Rattus norvegicus (Norway rat). RNAcentral's name for it is "long non-coding RNA NONRATT013507". Lineage: Eukaryota; Metazoa; Chordata; Mammalia; Rodentia; Muridae. The record is from RNAcentral.
AUUUCUCCUAUGAAUAAUUUCGGAAUUUACAUAACAUCAAGAUUUGAUUUGAUGCUGGGUGUACUGUUUAUGCCAGAGUCAACAUCUAUAGAAGUAAUUCAGCUUCCAGCUAUAGACCAAAAUAAAUCACUACAGAGGGAGUCAAAAGGGACCUCCAAGAAGUCAUGGUGUUUCCUUGUAGCAUAUAAAUGUUGGUCCAUGUUUAAUUCACAAUGGCACAGAUCUAGGAUCUGCUAGUGUCAUACUUCUAAGAACUUACUCACAUCCUCAUCAAGAAGACCCGAGUCAAUCCAGCCACAAGCACUGUAGCAACUAACAUGUCUUUACUAUUUAUGGCAAUGCAGAGAGAGACAUAUCAGAAGCAGGAUCUCCCUCUGCACAGGAAGUAAUAUUUCAAUGGGAUUGUUAUUACGGCUGCCAUCUUAGAGUACAGAAGAGCAGCUGAGCCACAGAAGCAGUGAUCACUUGCCAACUUUCCUCUUGCAGAGCCAGCCGAGGUCUUCCUGAGAUUUAUAGUCGCCCCGUCUGAGACCCUGGCUUGGCAUCUACCUUUGCUCUCACAUAAAAGGAGCCUAAUUUCUGCUUUUAAGAAAUGUGUUGCUCGAGAGAUUUUUGAUUUGGGUUCUUUUAAGAAUAAUGCAAUAAAGUAUAAUAAAAGUUU